AGGCACGGGUCCAUCCCCAAAGGCUGCGCCGGUUCCCUUCUGUCCCUCCACGAGGCACAGGUCCAUCCCCAAAGGCACUGCUUCUCAACACCACCACGUCGGGAGUUAAGUUUCCACGUGAAUUUUGGAUGUGGCGCAUUCAAACCGCAGCAGCCACCAUCACCACAAGCCAGGUACCCGGGGUCUCCAUCGCCCCGAAGGCCCCCCGCCAGCAUGCUUCCGCCCUUCCCACACCCCCUUGUUCCAGGAAGCCGCUUUUCUGGUAACUCCAGCGAUCUGUCAUCACGGAAUCAGCCCCAGAACACCUGAACGAUGCCACCCGUAUCAUCCAUCUGCCUCACCAAAGAAAAACGUCUCUGGAAGAUGACUCCGCUCAGUUUUUCUUGCAGGCUGAGAAGCCCCGCAGAAAGAAACAGGCCUGAGUCCCUGGAAGCUUCUCAUCAGGAUGUGAACCGACUGGAAAAAGGACGUUUGCAGAUGUGACCAAAUUAAGACUCUUGGGAUGGUGGGAGAGUGUUCUGGAUUAUCCUGGUGGGCUCUAAGUGCCACCGUGAGUGAGUAUCCGUAGAGGAGGGAGGCAGAGGAGUUUCCACACAGAGAGGUCACGUGGGGAUGGAGGAAGGGAGCUUUCCAGAUGUGACCAUGUGUACUGGGCAAUACAACCGCAGGCCAAGGAUUGUAAGCACAGCCAGAGCCUGGAGGAGGCAGGAGGGGCCCUCCCCAGAAGCCUUCAGAGGGAGGCCCGACCACACCUUGGGUUUGGACUUCUGGCCUCUAGAACCACGAGAUGAGAAGUUUCUGUUGGAAGCCCCCAGUUUCCCGUAAUUUGUAACAGUGGAAGUAGGAAACCAUUGUGUUCUCGUCUUUAAAUUAUUACCCCUUUCGAAUUCUUGGAAUCUCAGCAGAAUCAGGGCCAAGUGGGGCUUCUACUCUUCUUGACUAUCCUUGAAUAACCCUGUUGAGUUUCGUUGGAAAAAACAAAUGCAGUUGUACAAAAUUUGCAAAUUAAUUAAGGGAUAUUCUUACUACUUCUUAAAUGAAGUGAAUAUUUUCUGCAUUCGUUUUUAAGCUCGUUCUUUGCUGGGGUGUUGAGGCCCGGGUGUGCAUGCGUUAUCAUGCCCUUCCUGGGCACUGAAGACCAAGGCACACAGGCGGCAACACCAAGGUCCAGAGAGGUGAGAAACGUUCCCACGUUCACAAUGACAAAAAGCCAUGGGACUAAGCAUCAAAUCUCGUCACCCAGUUCCAGGCCACAUUGUUCUCUGGAAGUGCACAGUGUAAUCCUACAGUAAUGAAAACAGUUGGAAAUAGUAACCUCGUCCAACCUAAGAGCCUAACAGCAUUUUGUGGCUUUAUUGGAAGGGUCAAGACUCUUGGGCAACAAGAUCUCAAGGAACCCCAGGCAUCGUUGCUCCACAGUCACACGCCAGUCUCCAUCUUUGGCCAGGGAAACGGGUGCUUCCGUGGAGGAAGGACCCCAGACCCCUGCUGGUGAGUGCCUGAGUGUGCCUGAGACGGCAGAGGUAAACCCCUGGGCGUCACAUCCCAGCAAAGCCUUCUCCAGCAGAACGUGGACGGCCCUGCUCAGCAUCCCUCAGCAUGAGUGGCCCUCCAGAACAUCACAGCCUCUGCGGUGCCAGCAGCCUGUCAAGGAGUGCUUCCGUGUGGCCGCGGACCCCUGAAGUGCAGGCCCAGCCUUCCCAUUUGGGUCUGGUCCAGAGCCUGGUGCUGUUCUCCACAUGCUGUUGGGGUGGGGGGCACUGCCCAAGUCCGGUGACUUUUCUAGUGUCAUUUAGAUGAGCUUUUUAAAGGAUCUUUUUUAACAUGUAAGAUCAUUAGGCACACAGUGUGAAAUGAAGCCGUGGAGCCCUGGCGUCUGCACUGUGAGCCCCUCCUGGUGGUUCCAGUCACUGGAAGGCCGAUCUCCACAUGGUGGCCCUGCCUGCUGCCUCCCCCAGGCCAGCAUGCCCCACUGCCACCAGACCGUGGCCUUGAUCUGGCGGCUGCACCGGCCUCCUGGUCCUCGUGGCCCUCCCAGCCUCUCACCCUCCCCGAGGCGGAGCUUCCUGCCUGCGACUCAUGCUGCUGCUUCCCGUGUCGCCCUCACCUAAGAUAAGUCCCGUGUCCCUUGCCCAACAGGUGGUAACUUUAUUUCCAUCCAACUCCAUUCCUCAGCACCCCCCAGAGCAAUCCGGCCUCCCUGUGCCCACGCAGGCUCCUUCCCCCGUCUCUCUGUUGCCCACGGCCAAAUCCCCCAAAGCUCAGGGCAGCCCCACGUUAAGCGCAGGCCAUCCUGGCGCCACAGAUUUUCCCGUAAUUGCCGUUCCACACCUGGUGAGUCCCGGAGGCUUUGGCACCACGGACUUUCUCGGAAUUGCCGUUCCAUGCCCGGUGAGUCCCGGAGGCUCUGGAACACGGUUCCUAACACGCGCAGGCUGAUUUCUAACGCUCACGCGCGUGGUAUUGCUUUCUCCCCAGAGAGGAUCUGAGCCUUUGGGGGCCGGGGACUAAAUUUUGCUGCAGCUUCUUCUUUAGUCGGAUGAGGGUGGGAGAGCCUUCCCGGCCCAUCCUCAAGCCCCACGGAUCCGGCCCGGUGCUCCUGGCGGCCUCUUCACCCCAGGCUCUCGGGAGCCGCCCUGCUCUGCAGUUCUCUGUUAACACCUUUCCACUUCGGAGGAGCUUCGCGCGGAGAAUACAGCGAUUUUCUGACCUAAUCGCACCCCGCUCUGCGGCCGCCUUCGCUCCAGUUACUUUCGGACUCGGGCCCGGGCUCAGCUCCCCGGAGGCACCGCAGGCAGCGCGGGACCCCGAGCUCACACGCGGGCAUCGCCGGCCUCACAACGCAGCCCCUCUUCAGGACGUUCUGCCUCCCCCCACCUGGCCGGGACCCUCAGGCCCAGCCCUGGGGAUGCCUCCCCGACGGCUCCUGUGGCUCCGUGCCCCUCGCGCCCCUGGCUCACCUGGAGUUGUCCCCGCCCUGUUCCCUGCUACCUACAAGGGAAAGAUUGAAAAGAGUCGCAGUGAGGCCACGCGGAUUUCCACCCUGUACAACAAACAGCAGCGUCUGCAGAGAAACACACGGUCAGCCUUGAGCCAGUUGGAUCGUGUCAUUCAGAAACUUAACCAGGAUGUACAGGCGUUUCAUUCUUCUUCGCGGGCACUCCUAAGAGAUUAUCAGGAUGAGUAUCAGGACCGUGUUUCUGAAAUAGUGACUGUGGUGCAAAGAACACAGCAGAGUGCCGAGACCCUGCUAGCGUGCCAGGCAAAGGUGGUGCACCUGGAGCAGGCCUUGCAGGACGUCAGUGCCCGUCACCAGCUGGAGAGGCAGAGAAGGAAGGUCCUGCACAACAGCCUGGUGGAGCUGAAAGGAAAUAUCAGAGUUCACUGUCGGAUUCGUCCUUUGUUGCCUUUUGAUAGUGAAUCCGAUGAUCCAGUCUUGCAGAGCAGCUCCAUCUCUAGAGAAGUGGCCCAUGCUGUUGAUGACGAAACAGUUCUGGUGAAAUGUGAUCGUCCUGGCCACCCUCUGAUUAAUAAGACGUAUCAUUUUGAAAGGGUUUAUGGUCCAGCAGAGUCUCAGAGUGCGGUCUUUGGAGAUGUGUGCCCCCUACUCACGUCUCUCUUGGACGGGUACAAUGUUUGUGUUAUGGCGUAUGGACAGACGGGCAGCGGGAAGAGCUAUACCAUGUUGGGACCCCAUUCGGACGACGGCCCUGUGCUGCCGCUUGACCCACAGAGUGACUUAGGAAUUAUCCCUAGAGCAACUGAGGAGCUCUUCAGGCUCAUUUCGGAAAAUCCCUCAAGAAGCCCAAAGGUUGAAGUCUCCAUAGUGGAGGUUUACAAUAAUGACAUUUUUGACCUUCUGGCCAAAGACACUGUUGCAGCAGUGUCGGGGGUCAAGCGUGAGGUGAUGACAGCCAAGGAUGGACGAACAGAGGUUGCGCUGCUGGCCUCUGAGGCUGUCAACAGCGCCUCAAAACUGAUGGAGCUCGUUCGUGGAGGUCUGCAGCUCAGAGCAAAGCACCCCACCCUAGUGCAUGCGGAUUCCUCCAGGUCCCACCUGAUAAUUACGGUGACUCUGACAACAGCCGCCUGCUCUGAUAGUACUGCAGACCAAGCCUGCAGUGCUACCCUCCCCAGGGAACAAACAGAGGCAGGAAGGGCAGGAAGGAGCCGCAGAACUUCUCAAGGGGCCUCAGCUCUACAGCCAGUUCCCGGGGACCCCGCAGGGCGUGCGGAGCAUGUGCAGGCCCGGCUGCAGCUGGUGGACUUGGCGGGCAGCGAGUGCAUUGGUGUGUCCGGGGUGACCGGGUCGGCCCUGAGGGAGACAGCGUGCAUCAACCGCAGCCUUGCGGCCCUGGCAGACGUCCUGGGGGCUUUGUCGGAGCACCGCGGCCACGUCCCAUACCGGAAUAGCAAGCUCACCCACCUCCUUCAGGACUGCCUCGCACCCUCAUGAAUGUGGAUGGGACCUCCAACUCCUGCCAGACCAUCAGGCGGAACAGGCUUCACAGAGGAGCUCCUUGCAGAGCGGCGGCCACCAGGUGUCACAGCAGGCACUCGCUGUCCUCAUCAGACUCUCCCCAGAGGCCACGCUGGGCCCCAAGGCCCUGCCCCGGGAAACUGGGGAGCCAGCAGGAACGGCCGUGGGCAGGAGGGCAGGGGCAUCAGCGCCCCACAGUGGGAGCUCCUCCUUCCUGGUGGAGCUGGUCAGCCUGGGCCCACUGCAGACCCCACCUGUGAGCUCUGGGGAGGCGUGCUGAGCACGUACGGCCCCAGAGCCACCAGGCCUCACACAGAGCUGCCACCUCUGCCUCCUGGAGUUUGUGCUUUUCCUUUCACCCCGAGCUCUCUCUUCACCACUGUUUUUGGUUGUCCACCACACUCCGCAUGAGGAGCUGUGUCAGGGAGGGAGGGGGCGUCUGGGGCCAGCCUCACACCUGUCCUCUGAUUUGACACAAAUGCGGCCCCCAGGAUUCCCCACUGCAGACCCCUGGACCAGAUGGACUCUGGUUUCCAUGGUGCUCUGCCACCUUCCAGCUCUGCAUCCCUGAAUGGCUUGCUUGGCCUCUAAAGCCCGGCUUCCUCCUCUGCAAAGCCAGGUCUCCUCUCUGCCUCACAAGGGGAUGGAUGGUGAAGACAGCUGCCCGUCACAUCCUCUGCUGGAAGGAUGGCUGCUGGGGCGGCCCCCAGUUCCACUGGGCCCACAGUGACAGAUGUGCCCUCUCGGACCCAGCAGGGUUGGCCCUUAGGCAGGCAGAUGCCCCUGGCUCAGGAAGCCCCUCGCCGGCUUGCUGAGGCGCGAAGUUCCUUUAGUAGGACAGAGACAUCGAUGCCCAAAUGACAGACACAGGAGGCGGCAGCCCCGUGAGACGGAAGCUUCUCUGUGGAGCCUGCACUGAACAGCAGCACCGAGCAACAGCCGCCGCCAGGCCCUGCCGUCCUCCUUGUGACCUUGAAGGGCCGGAGCUGCUGCCAUAGCGUGACCUAAGGGGCAGCCUGGCUGAGCCACGUGACACUCGACAAGCCUUCUUUGUGUGUUUGAUGAAGUUCCUCUCUGCACAAGGCCGGCAUUUCGAUCACCAAGCUGCCUUUGUAGAGUUUGCAUGGACGCUUCGCCCACAGCCACGUGGGGCCCACAGCGGUGCCCCUGAGAUGGGCAUCAUGUGAAAAUGGCAGAGCUUCCCUCUGGGGAAGUGUUGAACAGGCUCUGGCCAGCCUCUACGCGGGAUGGCAGAGGCGUGAGUGACUCAGGAACCUGCCAGUCACAGCCUAGAGCAAGGGCGUCUACAGAGGCUGGGAGUCGGGGCAGUGGGCAUGGCGGACGCUUGGGCCCCAGGCACUGGACCCCACUGCCUGCCACCCUCGACAUCACCACGCUGCAGACUGGGCCCCUCUGUGCCAUCACGGGGCGUGCAGCUGAGUCCUCGCUUCCCAGGUUUUCGUCCACCUCUCACUCCAACUCCUCAUUUCCUAGAAGGAAGCCUGGGUCCAGUCUUCACCCUGGUCUACUUGGCCACACCCAGAGUGCCAGGGUUUCAGAGCAAACCAGCCCAGUCUCCAGGGUGUGGAGCUGCAGGCACUCACCCCACCGCUGGCCACCACUAGUGAUUUCAAUGGCCCGUCACCAUGGUGCUGAUGCGCUGCCCCUGAGAAGGGAGAGGGAGGGAAAGACCCAGGAAACAUACUCAAAAAACCUAAAAACUAGUCAGUGACUAAAACUCAGACGUCCUGUUAAUUAACGGCUCUGCUCUGGGGUUACUAUCUUCAUGUUCAUUAGCUUUUUCCUCUUGGCUCCGGGCCUUUGAAGGUGUUCAGGAUCAACCCAUUUGAAAAGCAAGGACGCUGAGGCUGUGGAAGCUCGAGAACUUCCUGACUUGCAGUGCCUGUGAGUGGGCAGGAAGGAGCGUCUGCCCCUCCGUCGUGGUACGGCUCCUUCUCUCACAGAAGUGGACAGUCCCAGCGCCACGGAGAAAUGCAUCUCCAAAAACACUCGUAGCUUCUGCAAACUGCACACAACCAGACCUCCUCAGCGCUGACCUAGGGCACAGUUGUUCAUGCACGAGAGCCACCUUACGGGGUGAGCCCGUGACUCUGACGUGAGGUUUGUGUUCCCAGGGCUGACGUGUCUGGGCGCUUCACAGCUGGACGAGGCAUGCUUGGAGGGGCGCCUUGAACCUGGACAGCACCCCCUCCUUGCCUCCCUCAGGCCCUUUGGCCACAGAACCUGUGACAUGGGCAGGCUCAGGAGAGGAGAGGAGGAAGGGAAGGAACCCAGGCUCCAAGGAGGUAAGAUUGCAGGGGGCGGAGGCGGGGGCCCAUGCGGUUUCGUCCGGAGGACAUUGCAACGCUGGAAUAAAACACCCUGCCCUCUUCAGCUUGUAGCAGGUUAGAGGCCACUGGUUUUGAAGAGAUUUGCCAGUGACCUGUGGGAGGAAACACUCAGCAGAGGUUGAGGCAGCGCGUGGAGGCCGUGCGGGGAAUACAGCCCAAAUGGGGAGGACAGAAGGCAUCACAGCCACCCAGGGUGUAGGAGCUGCGACAGGUGCCUGUUAGAGCGGAACGACAGGGGCCCGGCCCCGUUUCGGGGUCCGGCGGGGGCUUCCCUGCAGGGGCAGCCUCUGUGCAGAGGCCUGAAGGGUCCACAGUGGCAAAGGGGGAAUGACAAAGUGUCUGGCCAUGCGGGACCAUGUGUUCUGUACUAUAAUCACCCUGUGAGGGGCGCACGCCGCGCCGUCCUAGAGCAUCCCAGACACCAGCCCCCGGCCUGCUGGUACUCGCUGGAGGACCCUGCAUGCCGAGGGUCCCGCCCUGGCCGUCGUUUAGUGUGAGGCAGGAGGGGGCCAGAUAUGGUGGGGACACCCAGCUGCCCCAGAUCUCUCUUGCCUGCCCUUUCCUCCGCAGGCUCCCUGUGCCCCCCUGUAGCCAGGAAUAGGCCCUGGGGGUGGUGGGGGUGGCUGCACAGUGCGGCUUGUGGCCCUGGAUGCUCCCUUAGGACUGUCUGGGACCAGGCUCAUCUUGGAAUCCGAAUUAACUACAGACCUCACUUCGGGAACAGCCUGGCCCAGCCCUCAUACUCGGGGAAAGAGCGGUGGUCGGAGGAGGCAGGAGUAGCGCACAGAGGGCAAGUCGGGGGCCCACGUGUGGCCGGGGCAGCUGUGGCCUCCUCAGCACAGUGUGAGCCCAGCAGACUUGCCGAGGUCUGGGAACUUGUAAUCCAGUUGCUGAAUUUGCUUGGUUAGCAGAAAUGGAAGACACCUCAUUUGUGGAGACCGAGGUGGUGGAAUGCUGACCCUGGAGGUGUUGCUGUGGGAGGCCAGCGAGCUGUUAUCCCAGUGGGCAGGACCUGGGUGACCGACACCCUGGGGGUCUCCUGACUCCCUGGACCUUCUCCCUUCUUAGUGGAGCUUGGCCAAAACCCACGGACAUUUUACAUCUGUUUCCCUAAAGUGCUAGGGACGCUCUGUAGUUGCAGCCACGCUCCUCGGGCAAGCCCCGGGAUGCAGGGGGGCCAGAACAAUGCAGGGUGGGGGGGCAGGUGGGUGUGGCCGGACUCUGGCUCAGCCUGGGUGGACAAGGAGGUGUAUACAGUUGGCACAGCCAGAGCAAGCUGGUGUCUCAACCCUUCACUCAUGGGGCCCAUCCCUUUGAUGGACUACCUGCUGUUCGUGACAUGACGUCGGGACUGGAUUCUGAGCUUUGUUGAUCUUUGUGUGUUCUGGAAGGCAGUCAGGAGGUGUUCGUGGAAUGUGGUUACUGAAAAACACAGGGUUUCUGUCGCAGGUGAGGUGGUGGAGGUGGCAGCCCAGCCCGGAAGACGGCCAGUCUACAUUUUCAGGCCGCAUGUGAAGGGCGGCUUUGAUCUGCACCAAGGACUGGAGCAGUGUCCUGGAGACACACGGGCAUCCUCAGAAGGGGCAGAAAUGGAACCACCUGAGCCAAGGGGAGGGUCUGGGCUAGCGACCUGGGGAAAAGUCCCAAGGGGUGGGUGACAUCUGCCUGAAACAUCAGAGAAGAGCAGGGGCUGGAGCAGGACCACAGCGGACAGAAGGAAGCACGCCUGCAGCUCCCCCGAGCAGACCAGAACUCGUUGUCACAACUCAGUAAUCCCCAAAACUCACAAAGCCCGCUUGCAUGUUUUGCCAACAUUUUUCACAUUGUGUUGAAAUCCUUUU
Molecule: RNA transcript, 8672 nt
Organism: Piliocolobus tephrosceles (Ugandan red Colobus)
Lineage: Eukaryota; Metazoa; Chordata; Mammalia; Primates; Cercopithecidae
Gene: KIF25
Gene name: kinesin family member 25
Exons: 19
Source: RefSeq, a predicted model, not a curated record